Molecule: long non-coding RNA, 2518 nt
Organism: Xiphophorus couchianus (Monterrey platyfish)
Lineage: Eukaryota; Metazoa; Chordata; Actinopteri; Cyprinodontiformes; Poeciliidae
Exons: 4
Source: RefSeq, a predicted model, not a curated record
ACCGAGGAUGCCUUAGGUAGCGUCUUGCGCCGGGGCUUUUCUUUAUCCCGCUGCUAGAUGUUUCAUUUUAGAUGUUAAGGAUUCUAGCUGGACAGGCAAUGCUGACUUUUUUGCUGUUGAUGAAUGUAUGACUAAAUGCUGGCGGAUGCUAAUUUAAAUUUCUGAGGAACAAGACCUUACUGCUGAACAAAAAACACUAAAAGGAGUCGGACAUGGAUGGUGCGUAAAAGACAAAUGCUAAAAGGAAUAAGACAACGCCACAGGAUUAAUACUAAAUCUAAACCAAUCUUGCUGGGCAAAAAUCAAACCAACAACAAUUAAGACAACGCAGCUCCGGACACUGGAAUCAAUACAAUUGAGACAACACUGCUGCAAAUGAAACUCUAAAAUUUAAACAAUAUUUCUGACAGUUCUAAUUUUUAAGACAUAAUAAAUUCAAUAUAAUAUGCAAUACAAUAUAAUCGGUUGAGCUCUGGUGUAAACGGAUUGAAACAGCGGUUUUAAAGUUAUAAUCAUUCUGGUCUGGACAUUAUAAAAUCCACAGGGAGUGAAGCGUUUUACGUAUGAAAUAACAGUAACAACGGGAGUUAAUUUAAAUGUUCAUAGAUGAAAGAGGAAGAGAGAAAUAGGCAGGACCUUUGGAUCCCGGAUAUGAACUGUUGAUCCACGGAUCAAUCAUUUGGCGGCUGGAUUCCAAAACCCUCAAGGCCACAUGUUAAAAUGAGCAAGACAUUUAAACUCAGGCGAUAAUUUUAAAAGUAAGUAAUGCUGCUGGGUGUCAAACCUAAAAUCUCUUAAGACUGAGAAGAGACAACGCUUUUCUGGACAAAUUCAUUUCUCUAAGGAUGGAGACAACGCUUCUCAAGUAGUGAGAAAUUUAAAUCUUUUAGGACUAAUAUGAUGUCACGGUGGACAAAUUAAAAUGUAGAGGAAUUAAAACAACCCCGCGGAGUACAAAUUAAAAUCUUUAAGGAUAAAAGAAAAAGACAGAAAUAAAUGCCAAGUUUCAGGGUGUAAUAGCGGUGCUUCCCCACACGGUGCGCUCUAAUAUAGUAAAUUGUUCUCACCUGUACCUUCAUUAAUCCAGUCUCCCAGUUUUAAUCUUCCAGGUUUUAGCUGCUCAUCGCUGGAUUCUUUCGUGGUUGUCCAUGUGGUUCCUGUCCUCCUGGUUCCUGUUUGUUGGAUCUCCUGAGCCUGGAAUCCUCCACCUUCAACACCGUCUGUCAGGUGGAGGAAGAUAAGAGAACCCAGUUGACGAAAAAAGUAAGAACAUUUCUAUCUACAAAACAUAACUAAACAUUUCAGAUGGAGCUGCAUAGAGUUGAGCUGAAAGUUACAAACUGGUUCUGUCUGCUGUCCAUGAUUAUUUUCCUCUUUAACUCUGUUGUCUUUUCUCUUUAUUUCAUUUCUCUGUCAACUCAUGUCACAUGACUUGAGUUGACCAACAAAUAAAACAGAAGACCUGCUCCACCUGCUGAUCUACUGGUUGGAAGAGAUUGUGGAAAAGCGAGACAAGACAACAACUUUUGACUAAUGAGGAGAGAGAAGACACAGAGGACUGAGGAGACGCAGAAAAUCCUGCUGGAAAUCAAUAAAAAUGUUUCCUGAUGGAACAGGGGGACGGCUGAGGACAGGACACAACAUAAAGAGACAGAGACCAUGUGAAAUUCAAGGAUGGCCUUUCAACCCUGGAUUUCAUUUAUGCUUUGGAGCUUCAUGCUUCUGUGUUCAGGCCCUUUGUGUGCGGAAAAGCUGACAUCAGAAAUGUGAGAGGAAAUCUUUGAAGUUCAGCUCAGCGAAAAGGGCAGCACCAGACGACAAGAAGAAACCAGACUGCUAGGAUUCUCCUUGAGACAGACCAAACCUCGCUUUCCUGUUCAAACUCUGACAAGAUACCAAAGCCCAAGACAUACGAUCAGUUUCAAAGAAGACAUGAACUUUGAAUUACAAAACUCUUUGGACUUUAUUAAGUUCAAAUACAGAAUCACAAAACAUAAAUGUGGAUGUUGGCCUGUGAAGGCAGAUGUUAACUUGUGAAACCUGCUCUGUCAAAGUUCUGACUCUGCUGCAUUGUGGUUGUUUGACAACCUUUAAAUUUUAGACUCAUUUAUUUCCAAGUCCACCAUGUUUUCUAGUCUUGUGUAGUUUUCCACAUAGGAUUCCCAAGUUAGUGGAUGCACUAGGCCACUGUCUCUGGAGGUCCUCAAACUGUCCCUAAAGACGGUCAUGGCCACAUUGACUGCUGAUUGACUCGGUCAUAAACUGUCCCAAUUCCUCCUGGGAGUCUGGGAACCUACAGUCUGUUCUGCCAAACCCAGGAGUAAAAUAUGCAUCAAAACAGGACACAUAGUUUAGUUAUAUAUUUAUAUUUCUUCAUUCAACUGUCACUACCAACUGCUACGACUAUUGUUGAAAACUGUUGUAAUGUUUAAUUGUAUUUACAUAUAAAUAUUAGAAAUGAAAAUGUUUAUGUCAUCAGAAACUGUUCCAAUAAAAAGUGACAUAUUAUUAACACAUG